This 406-nucleotide ribosomal RNA is filed under the name uncultured bacterium. RNAcentral describes it as "partial 16S ribosomal RNA". It matches the Rfam family "Bacterial small subunit ribosomal RNA", at positions 30 to 526 of the family's 1533-position model. The record is from RNAcentral.
AUUGAACGCUGGCGGCAGGCCUAACACAUGCAAGUCGAACGAGUGGCGGACGGGUGAGUAAUGUCUGGGAAACUGCCUGAUGGAGUGGUAUAACUACUGGAAACGGUCGCUAAUACCGCAUACCAUCGGAUGUGCCCAGGUUGGAUUAGCUAGUAGGUGGGGUAAAGGCUCACCUAGGCAACUAUCCCUAGCUGGUCUGAGAGGAUGACCAGCCACACUGGAACUGAGACACGGUCCAGACUCAUACGGGAGGCAGCAGUGGGGAAGAGUGCACAAUGGGCGCAAGCCUGAUGCAGCCAUGCCGCGUGGAUGAAGAAGGCCUUCGGGUUGUAAAGUACUUUCAGCGGGGAGGCGGUACCCGCAGAAGAAGCACCGGCUAACUCCGUGCCAGCAGCCGCGGUAAUAC